GUGAAUCAUCGAAUUUUUGAACGCAAAUUGCACUCCCUGGUAUUCCGGGGAGUAUGCCUGUUUGAGGGUCGUUAGUAUAAAAAAUCGAUGCGUCGCGCUUGUUGUUAAGUGUGAUCGCGUCGUGGUGAAGCGGUCUUUCGAAUGUUGAUGCAGGUCAAAGUGGCUUGGAGUGCAUCCAUCCGGGACGAUUGAAUCAGAUUUAGUAUCGAUUUUGAU
Molecule: unclassified non-coding RNA, 216 nt
Filed under: Glomeraceae sp.
Lineage: Eukaryota; Fungi; Glomeromycota; Glomeromycetes; Glomerales; Glomeraceae
Description: partial contains 5.8S ribosomal RNA and internal transcribed spacer 2
Rfam family: 5.8S ribosomal RNA (bases 1-71)
Source: RNAcentral